This is a long non-coding RNA of Cuculus canorus (common cuckoo), 2953 nucleotides long. RefSeq lists it as uncharacterized. The record is from RefSeq and is a predicted model, not a curated record. NCBI's taxonomy places the organism in Eukaryota, Metazoa, Chordata, Aves, Cuculiformes, Cuculidae. The transcript has 3 exons.
AUGUACCAUUUGGCACUUUAAGCAAUUCUUUUCUUAGAAGGGGAACCUAUGGUUUUGCCAUGUAAUGCAAAACACCAAUGGAAUCACUACAUAAGCAAAAUGCCAGUAAUGGUAUAGUGGUCCAGCCACAAGCAUUGACCUGUCCUGGGCACGCGUGAGGUCCUGAGUUCCCCAGCUGCUUCUGGUAAGCACCUUUGGGCUGGUCAUUGGGAAGCAUUCUUCAGACGGUCAUUUAGAGACUCAGGAUGGUAAGAAAUGUUUUUUCACCUUGCACAAAUGGUGACAGCAUUACUGUAAUUUCUUUGUCUUGCAAGUAAAGGACAGCAAAGGAGCAAGGACAUUGCUCACUUCCCUCUUUCCCUGUACGCUAACUCUUAAUGUAUAUUCCAGAGUGUUUCUUCCCAACGACUGGCCUACACUUUACCCUCUGUGAAGCUUUUUGAAGAACUUGUGCACUUCAUGCAAAGCAUUUUGUUUUCAGUGCCCAAUGUAAGGAAGAAGCAGCACCUCCCAUGGGGACCAUAGGCACAAACAGCACAACAAAUAUCUCCUCCCAGCUUUGGUGCUACCAAGGGAGAGAAAGGAGGUUGGCUACGCAAAUAAUAAAUUCUUCAUUGGCAGCGCUGCUCUUUGCACUGGGGAGAAGGGUUGUCACCGUGGGGAGAGAGCAGCAAUAUACUGCCCAGCUGGACUCCUGGUUUGGGUUCCCUAGUAUUUUUCUGUUUAUUAUAGCAAAUGUCCUGUAAUUCAAGGUCUCCAUAGGGGGAAGGGAGGGUGUGUCAGACUCUGCUUAGUAGAGUUUCGGCAGAUAGCAGUUUUCUUUCCAUUUAAUAUGACAGGUGUUUAGUUUUUAACCUGCUCCUGCCAUUCACCAUUCUCACCUUUCCUCCUCCCAAGUCAAAUAUGUCAGUUUUGAGUUUUGCUGAUCUGCACAACCUGAAAAUGACAGCUUCUGAUUACCCACACAUACAAACCCCUGGAAUAUCAACUGUAAAAAAAAAAAAAAGGGUAGGAUUUGUGUCCAGGUUUCUGCUUAAAUUAGGUCGUGUGGCCUUUGCACUUUGAUUAACUAUGUAAUUAAUAAUGAACAGGUGUGGCAGGGUAGGCACUUUAUUCUGGCUUUUUUUUUCUGUCCCAUGAAUGCUGGGAAAGAAUGCAAUGAAGGCACUUAGUUGUGAGAACACUUUCUCACCCUGUUGGUGUAAUUCCUAAAGUCUGGUUGUGUUUUAAACCCCCAGGAAGAGGAACAAGCAAAAAUUCAUUAUUUGUCUUUGGGUCUACAAAGGCUAAAGGCUAGAGGAAUUCUGAAAGGAAGCUAAUCCUCACUCCUGGUCAGCAGCAGGAAUGAAAAGGACAGUGGUAAUGCUGUCCUCUGUUUUGCCUUUUCUAUUUUCUUUUUUAAUUUUCUCUUUGAAGAAAAUGACCCAGGGCAAAACAUGGUUGGAAAGGUUUACGACUACCCUUGGAGCUGAAGUGGAGAGAGCCACCACCAUGUUGCUGUCAGCUCUGCCAUGCUAAUAGAGUAUGAGGGGAAAUCAGAUGCGCAUUAAAGCUUUUGCUCUGCAAAAAUGCCUACGGACGAAGUUUUGUCUACAGCUUGUUAGAGGUACUUUCACAAGGUUGUUAUUCUCCUUUGUCCCUGUCCAUCUUUUGUUCUUUAUCCGUCUGUUUUGAUCUACGUCUUUGCUCUCAACCUCUUUAAUUGGAAGUCCUGUGAUGCAAAAACCAAAUUUAUGUUCUGUGAGCAUACAGCACCUAGAUCCUUGUCCAUAAUUAAUGCCAGUAUAUAGAAUCAUAGAAUCAUAGAAUCAUAGAAUCAUAGAAUCAUAGAAUGGUUUGAGUUGGAAGGGACCUUAAAGAUCAUUUAAUUUCAACCCCUCUGUCAUGGGCAGGGACACUACACCAACCUGGCUUUGAACACCUCCAGGGAUGGGGCACUCAUAUCUUCCCUGGGCAACCUGUGCCAUUGCCUUACCACCCUCAUUGUGAAGAAAUGCCUUCUUAUAUCUAGUCUAAAUCUGCCCCUCUCCAACUUAAAACCAUUCCCCCUAGUCCUAUCACUACAUUCCUUUGUAAAAAGUCCCUUCCUAAGAGGAACCAGUCCUUUUCUGGGGAGUUAGAUUAGUCUUUUAUAAAGCUAGUCUUUUAAGUCAGUCAGUUAUUUUGCAUGUUAAAUGCUUUAUCAUUUAUUACAGCUUUGACACAAAAGCAGCGGUCCCUUUACAUGGGGUUCACCUAGAAGAAGAGAUGGCGAGCUCAUUGAUAUGGCAUACUAUACAGGCCUCCUUUACCUCUGCCCCACAUUCUUCCACGACACAUUCUGCUUUUGUCAAAAAAUCUUGGGACUGUGGGCACAAAGUGCAAAAUAGGGUUGUUGAUGCUUUGUUCUUCUGACUUCUUCAGGAUUAUAAUAACCAUUUCAUGGAGAUUAGCUGAAGGGAUCAAGAAUGAUUCUGCUGCUGAUUCCUGAUUCCUGAUUCCUGACCCAUUGAGAUCCAGUGGCUACAUUUUCAUUUGGUUUACAUCAUUCACUGGCAAGUUUUAGGCCAGUAUGUUGUUGCUUUCCAGAUGAAUAAGACUUUUAAAGUCUUUUCAUAUACUGCCAAAAAAACUGGGUUCCAAUAACAUCAAGGCAACCUUUACUGCUUUUAAAGUUGCCUUGUAAAGCAUGUAAAAUAAGAUUUUAUAUCAGUUUUAAUAUUCUUUCAUACUACAGGCUCCCCUUUAAUAUCAAAAGCAACUCUUGAGUGAGGUAGGAUUUGAUGUGAAGAAUAGCAUUAAGUCAUCAGAAAGGAAGGUGCUGCUUAACCACUAAAAUCUUUUUUAAAUGCUUUUCUUAGUAGAUUUGUUAGUAAUUAUACUAUAUAAAUUUAAGAGUGGAAAUUUUGUUUCUCCAUCAUAAUUUCUAUGUCUAGUACUUUGCACUGAGUUUUGGAGUGCAACCGAAUUGCGA